UACGUAGGGUGCGAGCGUUGUCCGGAAUUACUGGGCGUAAAGGGCUCGUAGGCGGCCAACUAAGUCAGACGUGAAAUCCCCAGGCUCAACCUGGGAACUGCGUCUGAUACUGGAUGGCUUGAAUUCGGGAGAGGGAUGCGGAAUUCCAGGUGUAGCGGUGAAAUGCGUAGAUAUCUGGAGGAACACCGGUGGCGAAGGCGGCAUCCUGGACCGGCAUUGACGCUGAGGCGCGAAAGCCAGGGGAGCAAACGGG
RNAcentral lists this ribosomal RNA (253 nucleotides) under uncultured bacterium. RNAcentral's name for it is "partial 16S ribosomal RNA". It matches the Rfam family "Bacterial small subunit ribosomal RNA", at positions 524 to 776 of the family's 1533-position model. The record is from RNAcentral.